This 73-nucleotide transfer RNA is filed under the name Ovis aries (sheep). It matches the Rfam family "tRNA". From Rfam's summary of the family: Transfer RNA (tRNA) molecules are approximately 80 nucleotides in length. Their secondary structure includes four short double-helical elements and three loops (D, anti-codon, and T loops). Lineage: Eukaryota; Metazoa; Chordata; Mammalia; Artiodactyla; Bovidae. The record is from Rfam by way of RNAcentral.
UCUCUGGUGGUCCAGUGGCUAAGACUCCGUGCUCCCAAUGCAGGGGCCUUGGGUUCAAAUCCUGACCAGGGAA